AUUAGCGGGGUCCUCUUUGCCGAUCCUCGACAUGUGAUAAGAUGUUUCCAUGUCUUGGCUUUAUGGCUCUGUUGCCUUUGGGACCCGCUUCUAACCGUCUCAGCGAGACAACGUUCGAGCGUGUCUCCCCUCUCGGGGAAACGCUCUUGAACCCACGAAACCUUGACCUCAAAUCGGGUGAGACUACCCGCUGAACUUAA
Molecule: unclassified non-coding RNA, 200 nt
Filed under: soil metagenome
Description: partial contains internal transcribed spacer 2 and large subunit ribosomal RNA
Source: RNAcentral